UACGAAGGGAGCUAGCGUUGUUCGGAAUCACUGGGCGUAAAGCGCACGUAGGCGGAUGUGUCAGUCAGGGGUGAAAUCCCGGAGCUCAACUUCGGAACUGCCUCUGAUACAGCACGUCUUGAGUCCGGAAGAGGUGGGUGGAAUUCCUAGUGUAGAGGUGAAAUUCGUAGAUAUUCGGAAGAACACCAGUGGCGAAGGCGGCUCACUGGUCCGGUACUGACGCUGAGGUGCGAAAGCGUGGGGAGCAAACAGG
Molecule: ribosomal RNA, 253 nt
Filed under: uncultured bacterium
Lineage: Bacteria
Description: partial 16S ribosomal RNA
Rfam family: Bacterial small subunit ribosomal RNA
Source: RNAcentral